CAGUCGCCACGGUAAUACGUAGGGUGCAAGCGUUAAUCGGAAUUACUUGGCGUAAAGCGUGCGCAGGCGGUUUGUUAAGACAGAUGUGAAAUCCCCGGGCUCAACCUGGGAACUGCAUUUGUGACUGGCAAGCUAGAGUGUGGCAGAGGGGGGUGGAAUUCCGCGUGUAGCAGUGAAAUGCGUAGAUAUGCGGUGGAACACCGAUGGCGAAGGCAGCCCCCUGGGCCAACACUGACGCUCAUGCACGAAAGCGUGGGGAGCAAACAGGAUUAGAUACCCCUGUAGUCCCUGUCUCUUAUAC
This 301-nucleotide ribosomal RNA is filed under the name uncultured bacterium. RNAcentral describes it as "partial 16S ribosomal RNA". It matches the Rfam family "Bacterial small subunit ribosomal RNA", at positions 509 to 807 of the family's 1533-position model. The record is from RNAcentral.